This 473-nucleotide ribosomal RNA is filed under the name uncultured bacterium. RNAcentral describes it as "bacterial SSU rRNA". It matches the Rfam family "Bacterial small subunit ribosomal RNA", at positions 30 to 507 of the family's 1533-position model. The record is from RNAcentral.
AUUGAACGCUGGCGGCAGGCUUAACACAUGCAAGUCGAGCGGAGACUUCGGUCUUAGCGGCGAACGGGUGAGUAAUACCUAGGAAUCUGCCUAUUAGUGGGGGAUAACGAAUCGAAAGGUUCGCUAAUACCGCAUACGUCCUACGGGAGAAAGGGGGGGAUCUUCGGACCUCUCGCUAAUAGAUGAGCCUAGGCCGGAUUAGCUAGUUGGUAGGGUAAAGGCCUACCAAGGCGACGAUCUGUAGCUGGUCUGAGAGGAUGGCCAGCCACACUGGAACUGAGACACGGUCCAGACUCCUACGGGAGGCAGCAGUCGAGAGGCUUCGGCAAUGGGGGAAACCCUGACCGAGCGACGCCGCGUGGGCGAUGAAGGUUGUAAGAUCGUAAAGCCCUGUCAGGAGGGAAGAACUGCCAAUGGGCAAACAGGCCAUUGGUUUGACGGUACCUCCAGAGGAAGCUCCGGCUAACUCCGUG